Long non-coding RNA from Oncorhynchus tshawytscha (Chinook salmon), 1246 nucleotides. RefSeq lists it as uncharacterized. The transcript is spliced from 2 exons. The record is from RefSeq and is a predicted model, not a curated record. Lineage: Eukaryota; Metazoa; Chordata; Actinopteri; Salmoniformes; Salmonidae.
UCGAGACUGGCUCUGCGCUCUUCAGGCGGUUCACAACGAAUUUACAUUACAUCUACAUUUUCCACCUAUUCCGCGGUCGUUUCACUUUUACCAGGGGUAGAAUUUGUUUUAUCGGAGGUCGAGAGGAAUUUUAUUUAUUUGUUCCAUAUUUAGUUCACGGAGAUUAUUUGUUAAGAUUUAUAUUCGGACGGUUUGAAUUAUUUUUCACCACCAACAGCGGGACAGCACGAGCGAGCGACGGGGACCGGAGCUGAGAGAGAGACACGUCUUGUGCUGAAUAAAACCUCAAGAGCUCGAGAUACAGAAUGGACAUUAUUACCAAAGGAUGGCACUAUAAAUGUCUCCUAACUUUGCAUUACUUUGCACGCAGUUCGUGAGAAAUAACAUAAACAAUAUUUAUAUUUAAUCCAUAUUUAUGUUGACCUCUGCUAUUUAAAUGUUUCUGUCUUCAAAUGGCUAAAUGGACUGUACGCUGAAAACUGAUGCAGUUAUUUGAUUCGAUGUUUUAUUUGAUUUUGAUUCGAUGUAUUAGAAUCCCCAUUAGCCGACGCCAAUGGCAACAGCUCUAAACUGCGUUAUCGUUGGCCUGUGAGUCAAUUCAAACGAACAAUUACAAUAUAUAUUAUAUAUAUAUAUAUUAUAUUUUAGUUCAUUUUAGAGACGUUUUAACAUUGUAUUCAAUUUCCUUGUGUUGUUGUCGGAUUGUGCGUUCUCCUUGAGCGCCCUGAACGGAAGAAUCUAAACACACAUCCACCGGGGAUUAUAGCCUCUUCGCAUGAUGACGCCUCUCAGCUGAGACCGGGACCUUUACGUUAAAACCUAGGACCCAGGACCAGAGCCUACCGGUACGACUGUGAGCCCGGAGCCGAAACAUGAGGGCGUCUGGCAGGGUGAUCUUCUGGCUCCUCUCGGCGAUGUGUUCGCUCUCCAGGUCUCGGACGGCCACUCUGAGCAGUGUUAGAGACCCUUUGUAUGUCAGUGAUCCAGGAGCGUUGGGUUACUGUUGCUCUGAGCAGUCCCUCGCUGGGUUGUCAUGUCAUUGCCGCGGAGAUUAAUCAAUGGAUGCAGUGUCUGUCUGUGGUGCUCUCUCUGUUCGACCCAACCGCUGAAAAUAUGUGGAACUACAGUACGCGUAGAUGCCAGAAAUAUCUGGCACUUUGAUAGAGAACCAUAGUAGGCUAUUCACUGGGGCUGGAAGCCUGGAUAGUUUCAUGUCACAUAACAAUAAAAGGAGAAAUCAAACUGG